GAACACAAAAUGGCGACACGUGAGGAAGACAAACAUAAAGAUGAAGUGCUUAAUUCAAGGUCACACAAUGUCGGGGAUGGACCUCCAGAUUUCCUUACUGGAAAACAAGCUCAGGGCUCCCACUGAUUGUACAUUAUGGUGAGACGUGGUCUUGUAACACAGUGGUUAAGAAUGUGACUUUGGAGCCAGCCUGCUAGGGGCUGAAUUCUGACUCAGCCAUUUACUAACUGUGUGACCUUAGUUCCCUGAGCACAUGCUGUUGAGUAAUCCUGCCUGGACCAGUACUUCCCUCACCCUAGACUUCACCUUCAGUUCCCCUUUAUACCACCUGCUGAAGCUGCCAGCCAGCCUUUUCGACCACCCUCCCUCCCCCAGGGGUGUUUGGCUUCUCAGACCCCAGCCUGAGCUAGUGCCCUUGGCUUCCUAGGGUCUUGCCAGGAAAGCAAAGGAGAACAUGCAUACCGCCAAAGAGUACCUAAUAAUAAGAACUCCCAUCCUGAAUUGUGAUUUAUAGUCAGCAUAGCACAUGUGUCAGGUGAUUAUACUUAGGCUGAUUUUAGCCUUAAUAAUCUGCUUCUGUGAUCCUGUAUGUGGGAAGCCUAGAAAUUUCUCUGUGAUCCUCCUUCCUGGAUCACUAAGAGACAAGUCAAGACAUAGGUCCAUUCUACCACCUGUGUUAAUCUGGGCCUUGUUGAGACCAUUUAAAGAAAGGCGUGAUGCUAGAAGUAAGGUCCAGGCCUCCUGCACACUGUUUCAAGGCUGUGACCAUAGUCAGAUCCUGUUGCUUGAGUCCAAAGAGUUUAAAAUAGUGUUGGAAACCUCCUAGGGAAAAAACAAAAAACAAAACACCACAUCUUCCUGGGUAAGGAAGUGACAUGUGCUGACUAGAGCAGGAGGGGUAGCCAAGGCUCCAAGUUCUAUUCUGGACCUGUUGUUGAUUUGAGGUGUGACAUUCAGCAAUCUGAGCUGAUGUUCUGUAGCUCUGAUUGGUUUCUCAUCUUCUGCAGAGAGAGUGAAAGAGGCUGUGCUUGCAGGGGAAAAGGUGAACACUGGUCUCCUGUCCUUUAGGAGAGCUUCACCAUUACACGUCCUGCCUCUCAUUUGAAUUUCCAGGCUUUUUUAGAGUCUCGCUCUAUUGCCCAGAUUGGAGUGCAGUGGUGUGAUCUCGGCUCACUGCAACCUCUGCCUCUGGGUUUAAGCGAUUCUCUCACCUCAGCCUCCCAAGUAGCUGGAAUUAUAGGUGCGUGCCACCAUGCCUGGCUAAUUUUUGUGUUUUUAGUAGAGAC
Molecule: long non-coding RNA, 1286 nt
Organism: Homo sapiens (human)
Lineage: Eukaryota; Metazoa; Chordata; Mammalia; Primates; Hominidae
Gene: PCBP1-AS1
Product: PCBP1 antisense RNA 1
Source: Ensembl